RNAcentral lists this long non-coding RNA (1274 nucleotides) under Monodelphis domestica (gray short-tailed opossum). RNAcentral describes it as "lncRNA (ENSMODG00000044636.1)". The record is from RNAcentral. Lineage: Eukaryota; Metazoa; Chordata; Mammalia; Didelphimorphia; Didelphidae.
CACACCAGUCCCCCCCCCUCCCACCCCCCCCUGAGAAACCAGACGGCAAACACCCAGCCCCCCCACCCUGGCUCUGGCUCCUCUCCCUGCCUAUAGAGCAGACCCCCGAGCGCCCAACUGCACCGAGUUCACACACUCCAGCCUACUUCCAAGUCGCCUAUACACCACCCUCUCGCUCCAGCCCUCAAAUUGACACAUAAGACCAAUGGGCGUGUCGGACAACCAAUAGGAAUCCGCCGUUUGGAUUUGGGGGCGGGAACUAGGGCUGACUGGGACCAAUGGAAGCGAGCCGAACCCCCUAAGCUUGGGGAAGAGAAUGUUGACAGAUCUGAAUCUCUCUUCCGAUAGGUCAGCCACGAUAGUAACAAUUUAGAAGCCGAAGCUUAGCAACAGCACGUGGUGGCCCAGCCCCCGCGCUCUCUGAGUGGCCAUCGGGGUGCAUGUUAAGUAGGCGCUGCGCGCUGAUUGGUCUUGAGGAGGCUAUGUAAAGUAGCGGAGAGCGGACCAAUGGAUGGGCCGGAGGGAGACUGGCCAAUGAGAUGUGCGGAGCGGACGGCGUUGCCGAGAGGAAGGGAAGCCUGGGCUGGUAGAGUGUGGCCUGGCCUAAGCCGGCCUGUUAGCAACUGGAAUGAGACGUCUAGGGGCCGAGGGAGAAGGCGGAGACUUGCGCUGAGGACACCGUUAGACGGAACUCCCCUUCUGCCUUCACGCCUCCAGGACUUGUGAAAGCAACAAGCCAUCAUCCGCCGACCCCGGGACUCCCGCCUUAAAAGUCGGCCCUAGAGGCAAAAGGAAUGCUACAGGUCAAUCUGCCCGACACACGAGGCCUUCCUCUGAGAACACCAGAGCCUCACUCUGGCUGUGUGCCUGUUCUUACUCAUACACGAUCCAUGCCUGGUCUACCUCCUUUUUUAUUUUCAGUCAUUUUGAUGGUGCCUCUCAUUCUUCUCAGCAUUUGGCUCAACAGAACAAAAGGCAAUCUUAAAGCUCCCCAUGUCCAUGUGGAAAUCAUACAAGAUUCCUCGAGAGAUGAAACCACGGCGAUAACUUUGUUCAGCAAUCUUCUGCUCAUCAGCUUGAGGCGACACAUACAGCAAGGUGUAAAGCCUUAACGAAGACCUGGGAAUGAAGAUCAUGGGUAGGCCAGUGAAAGACACGAUGUGGGCCUCUGUGGGCUCAGAUGGCCCUGAUAGCCACUGACACCCAGCGAGUCACCAUGGCUGUUUGCUUCUGGAAUGGAAGCACUCAAUAAAUGACUGUAAGUAUCAGAGUCA